This 603-nucleotide ribosomal RNA is filed under the name uncultured bacterium. RNAcentral's name for it is "bacterial SSU rRNA". It matches the Rfam family "Bacterial small subunit ribosomal RNA", at positions 44 to 675 of the family's 1533-position model. The record is from RNAcentral.
GUGCUUAACACAUGCAAGUCGAACGGGACCUUCGGGUCUAGUGGCGGACGGGUGAGUAAUACAUAGGUAAUCUGCCUUCAAGUGGGGGACAACCAGCCGAAAGGUUGGCUAAUACCGCAUAAUGUUAUGGAUUGAAAUAUUCAUAAAGAAAGAUUUAUCGCUUAAAGAGGAGCCUAUGGUUGAUUAGCUAGUUGGUGGGGUAAAGGCCUACCAAGGCGACGAUCAAUAGCUGGUCUGAGAGGACGAUCAGCCACACUGGGACUGAGACACGGCCCAGACUUCUACGGAAGGCAGCAGUGGGGAAUUUUCCGCAAUGGGCGCAAGCCUGACGGAGCGACGCCGCGUAUGGGAUGAAGUCUUUCGGGAUGUAAACCAUUGUCAGUGGGGACGAAACAAAUGACGGUACCCACAGAGGAAGCAUCGGCUAACUACGUGCCAGCAGCCGCGGUAAUACGUAGGAUGCAAGCGUUGUUCGGAAUUACUGGGCGUAAAGAGUACGUAGGCGGUAUGUUAAGUCUGAUAUUAAAGACUGGAGCUUAACUUCAGGACUGUAUCGGAAACUGGCAAACUAGAGGACAAUAGAGGAAGUCGGAAUUCUCAGUG